AACGAACGCUGGCGGCGCGCCUAAUACAUGCAAGUCGAACGAGAAGCUGUAGCAAUACAGUUGUACAGUGGCGAACGGGUGAGGAAUACAUGGGUGACCUACCCUCGAGUGGGGAAUAACCAGCCGAAAGGUUGGCUAAUACCGCGUACGCUUCCCAGUCUACGGGUUGGGAAGGAAAGCGAUGCCGUGGGUAUCGCGCUCAAGGUUGGGCUCAUGUCCUAUCAGCUUGUUGGGGGGUAACGGCUCACCAAGGCAACGACGGGCAGCUGGUCUGAGAGGACGAUCAGCCACACUGGCACUGCGACACGGGCCAGACUCCUACGGGAGGCAGCAGUAAGGAAUAUUGCGCAAUGGGCGAAAGCCUGACGCAGCGACGCCGCGUGGGGGAUGAAGGUCUUCGGAUUGUAACCCCUUUCGGGUAGGGAGAUGGACGAGCAAUCGUUCGGACGGUACCUCCAGAAGCAGCCACGGCUAACUUCGUGCCAGCCGCCGCAGUAAG
RNAcentral lists this ribosomal RNA (499 nucleotides) under uncultured bacterium. RNAcentral describes it as "bacterial SSU rRNA". It matches the Rfam family "Bacterial small subunit ribosomal RNA", at positions 29 to 524 of the family's 1533-position model. The record is from RNAcentral.